RNAcentral lists this unclassified non-coding RNA (243 nucleotides) under Hevea brasiliensis (rubber tree). The record is from RNAcentral. Lineage: Eukaryota; Viridiplantae; Streptophyta; Magnoliopsida; Malpighiales; Euphorbiaceae.
CCUGGCUUGGGUAUCUAAUUUCCUGUUUUAAAUACCAAUGAUUGUUGCUGAAAAACCAAACCUUAACAGUGUCAUAUUUAUCACAUCUGACAACAGAUGCAAGAAGAUCUGAACUACAAUUCCACUUAAGCAAUUCUACUGUUGCGUCCACUGGUGCGUUAAUUCUAAAAGAGCUUCUAACUAGUCCAUUUCUCUCAUAAAAAACUAUUUCUGGACACUCAUUCUCAGCUCUUCUGUCAUAGA